GAUCUAUCCAUGUSMRGGAGKWMWGGAUCUCUUGWGRACUUCRASGUGCUGGGGAUAGAGCAUUGCAAUUAUUGCUCUUCAACGAGGAAUUCCUAGUAAGCGUGAGUCAUCAGCUCGCGUUGAUUACGUCCCUGCCCUUUGUACACACCGCCCGUCGCUACUACCGAUUGAAUGGCUUAGUGAGCCUUUGGGAUCGGCAGCUUGUACCGGCAACGGUAGCAGGCCGCUGAAAACUUAGGCAAACUUGGUCAUUUAGAGGAAGUAAAAGA
RNAcentral lists this ribosomal RNA (269 nucleotides) under Malassezia restricta. RNAcentral's name for it is "partial small subunit ribosomal RNA". The record is from RNAcentral. Lineage: Eukaryota; Fungi; Basidiomycota; Malasseziomycetes; Malasseziales; Malasseziaceae.